This 996-nucleotide long non-coding RNA is filed under the name Fukomys damarensis (Damara mole-rat). RNAcentral describes it as "lncRNA (ENSFDAG00000030218.1)". The record is from RNAcentral. Lineage: Eukaryota; Metazoa; Chordata; Mammalia; Rodentia; Bathyergidae.
CUUCCCAUGAUUUGGGCCUCAAUUAGUUGUCUUGGGAAAUGAAGCUACUCUUUCCCUGAUUCCAAGGAGCAUUUCAGAAGCGUUUACGAGCAUCGCGAAAACCCUCAGGCAUCUCACGCCUGCUGUUUUGGACAAGUGGAUCUCAGUCUUCGGGGAAGUGACUGCAGUCCAGUCACUGCUGCCCUGCUCCGGCCUGAGACGAUUCUUCCACCUCCAGUCUGGACUCCUGCCAGCCUCGUCAUCCAUCUCCACUCAUCUGCCGACGUCCUCUUUCCAAGACGCUGGUCAGAACUUGUUCUUCCUGCUCACCACCUUCACGAGGUCCCGGCUACUUUCACCAAAGAACCAAGCCCCCUCGGCUCUCUUGAUCCUGCCCUGCCUGCUGUCCAGCCUCACCUGCUCUGCCAUCCCCUCACACUUUCCAGUUCCCCGAAAUGCCACUGUCCCAGUCAUCUGUCAUAUCUCUGAGGCCCUGGAUAUGCUGUUCUUCUUGACUGGAAUUCUCUUCUCCCCGCUCCUGCCCAUCUGCUAACUCUCAGUCAUCCUUCAAAACUGUGCUUGGAGCCAACUGGAAUGGCACAUACCUGUAAUCCUGGCACUCAGGACGUUGAGGUAGGAAGAUUGCCACCUGUUCGAGGCCAACCUGGGUAUAUUGAGCUCAAAGCCAGCCUGAACUACAUAGCAAGACUCCCCCUCAAAGAACGAAACAAAACAAAAACAAUGCUCGGGUUUUACCUUUCUCCCGAAGACUUCUUGUCUCCCCUCCUUGUCAGGAUCCAUUCACUCCUUGCUCCACAUCACCUCUGGGGUGUGCACUUGUGAGUGCGCUAUUUGUAUCACUGGUUGGGAAACUGAGCCUCAGAAAGGGUAACCAGGAUUUCAAGUUAAAUUAUGGACUCAAAUCCAAAUAAUUCUGAUUCCUAGGCAAGUGCCUUAUUUACUGUACUCUCAAAGAAUUAACCAAAUUCCACACACUUACACACUUACAUACACACA